RNAcentral lists this ribosomal RNA (267 nucleotides) under Campylobacter coli. RNAcentral's name for it is "partial 16S ribosomal RNA". It matches the Rfam family "Bacterial small subunit ribosomal RNA", at positions 1 to 265 of the family's 1533-position model. The record is from RNAcentral. Lineage: Bacteria; Pseudomonadati; Campylobacterota; Epsilonproteobacteria; Campylobacterales; Campylobacteraceae.
UUUUAUGGAGAGUUUGAUCCUGGCUCAGAGUGAACGCUGGCGGCGUGCCUAAUACAUGCAAGUCGAACGAUGAAGCUUCUAGCUUGCUAGAAGUGGAUUAGUGGCGCACGGGUGAGUAAGGUAUAGUUAAUCUGCCCUACACAAGAGGACAACAGUUGGAAACGACUGCUAAUACUCUAUACUCCUGCUUAACACAAGUUGAGUAGGGAAAGUUUUUCGGUGUAGGAUGAGACUAUAUAGUAUCAGCUAGUUGGUGAGGUAAUGGCC